UACGGAGGGUGCAAGCGUUAUCCGGAUUCACUGGGUUUAAAGGGUGCGUAGGAGGGCAGGUAAGUCAGUGGUGAAAUCUUCGAGCUUAACUCGGAAACUGCCGUUGAUACUAUCUGUCUUGAAUACCGUGGAGGUGAGCGGAAUAUGUCAUGUAGCGGUGAAAUGCUUAGAUAUGACAUAGAACACCAAUUGCGAAGGCAGCUCGCUACACGAAUAUUGACUCUGAGGCGCGAAAGUGUGGGGAGCGAACCGG
This 253-nucleotide ribosomal RNA is filed under the name uncultured bacterium. RNAcentral describes it as "partial 16S ribosomal RNA". It matches the Rfam family "Bacterial small subunit ribosomal RNA", at positions 524 to 776 of the family's 1533-position model. The record is from RNAcentral.